This 442-nucleotide ribosomal RNA is filed under the name uncultured bacterium. Its description in RNAcentral is "partial 16S ribosomal RNA". It matches the Rfam family "Bacterial small subunit ribosomal RNA", at positions 338 to 795 of the family's 1533-position model. The record is from RNAcentral.
CCUACGGGAGGCAGCAGUGGGGAAUAUUGCGCAAUGGGGGCAACCCUGACGCAGCAACGCCGCGUGAUUGAAGAAGGCCUUCGGGUUGUAAAGAUCUUUAAUUGGGGACGAAACAAAUGACGGUACCCAAAGUGUAAGUUCCGGCUACCUCCGUGCCAGCUACCGGGGUAAUCCGGAGGAGGAGGGCGUUAUCCGGAUUUAUUGGGGUUAAAGGGUGGGCAGGCGGAAGAUCAAGUCAGCGGUAAAAUUGAGUGGCUCAACCUCUUCGAGCCGUUGAGACUGGUUUUCUUGAGUGUGUGAGAGGUAUGCAGAAUGCGUGGUGUAGCGGUGAAAUGCGUAGAGAUCACGCAGAACUCCGAUUGCGAAGGCAGCAUACCGGCGCUCGACUGACGCUCAUGCGCGAAAGUGUGGGUAUCGAACAGGAUUAGAUACCCGAGUAGUC